This 491-nucleotide ribosomal RNA is filed under the name uncultured bacterium. RNAcentral describes it as "partial 16S ribosomal RNA". It matches the Rfam family "Bacterial small subunit ribosomal RNA", at positions 355 to 838 of the family's 1533-position model. The record is from RNAcentral.
UGGGGAAUCUUCCGCAAUGGGCGAAAGCCUGACGGAGCAACGCCGCGUGAGUGAAGACGGCCUUCGGGUUGUAAAGCUCUGUUAUAUGGGACGAACGGGCGUAUGGUCAAUACCCAUACGCCGUGACGGUACCGUAAGAGAAAGCCACGGCUAACUACGUGCCAGCAGCCGCGGUAAUACGUAGGUGGCAAGCGUUGUCCGGAAUCAUUGGGCGUAAAGGGCGCGCAGGCGGUUCGGUAAGUCGGUCUUAAAAGUGCGGGGCUUAACCCCGUGAUGGGAUUGAAACUGCCGGACUGGAGUGUCGGAGAGGAAAGCAGAAUUCCUAGUGUAGCGGUGAAAUGCGUAGAUAUUAGGAGGAAUACCAGUGGCGAAAGCGGCUUUCUGGACGACAACUGACGCUGAGGCGCGAAAGCCAGGGGAGCAAACGGGAUUAGAUACCCCGGUAGUCCUGGCCGUAAACGAUGGGUACUAGGUGUAGGAGGUAUCGACCC